RNAcentral lists this ribosomal RNA (472 nucleotides) under uncultured bacterium. RNAcentral's name for it is "bacterial SSU rRNA". It matches the Rfam family "Bacterial small subunit ribosomal RNA", at positions 355 to 825 of the family's 1533-position model. The record is from RNAcentral.
UGGGGAAUCUUGGACAAUGGGCGCAAGCCUGAUCCAGCCAUGCCGCGUGAGUGAAGAAGGCCUUCGGGUUGUAAAGCUCUUUUGUCAGGGAAGAAACGGUAGUAGCGAAUAACUACUACUAAUGACGGUACCUGAAGAAUAAGCACCGGCUAACUACGUGCCAGCAGCCGCGGUAAUACGUAGGGUGCAAGCGUUAAUCGGAAUUACUGGGCGUAAAGCGUGCGCAGGCGGUUGUGUAAGUCAGAUGUGAAAUCCCCGGGCUCAACCUGGGAAUUGCAUUUGAGACUGCACGGCUAGAGUGUGUCAGAGGGGGGUAGAAUUCCACGUGUAGCAGUGAAAUGCGUAGAUAUGUGGAGGAAUACCGAUGGCGAAGGCAGCCCCCUGGGAUAACACUGACGCUCAUGCACGAAAGCGUGGGGAGCAAACAGGAUUAGAUACCCGCGUAGUCCCUGAGCGGGCUGGCAAGGCGCAU